RNAcentral lists this ribosomal RNA (253 nucleotides) under uncultured Acidobacteriota bacterium. RNAcentral's name for it is "uncultured Acidobacteria bacterium partial 16S ribosomal RNA". It matches the Rfam family "Bacterial small subunit ribosomal RNA", at positions 524 to 776 of the family's 1533-position model. The record is from RNAcentral. Lineage: Bacteria; Pseudomonadati; Acidobacteriota.
UACGGGGGGGGCAAGCGUUGUUCGGAAUUACUGGGCGUAAAGGGCGCGUAGGCGGCCUUCUAAGUCAGACGUGAAAUCCCUCGGCUUAACCGGGGAACUGCGUCUGAUACUGGAGGGCUUGGAUCCGGGAGAGGGAUGCGGAAUUCCAGGUGUAGCGGUGAAAUGCGUAGAUAUCUGGAGGAACACCGGUGGCGAAGGCGGCAUCCUGGACCGGCAUCGACGCUGAGGCGCGAAAGCCAGGGGAGCAAACGGG